RNAcentral lists this ribosomal RNA (244 nucleotides) under uncultured bacterium. Its description in RNAcentral is "partial 16S ribosomal RNA". It matches the Rfam family "Bacterial small subunit ribosomal RNA", at positions 15 to 235 of the family's 1533-position model. The record is from RNAcentral.
GAUCCUGGCUCAGGAUGAACGCUGGCGGCGUGCUUAACACAUGCAAGUCGAGCGAAGCAAUUUAAGUGAAGUUUUCGGAUGGAUCUUAAAUUGACUGAGCGGCGGACGGGUGAGUAACGCGUGGAUAACCUGCCUCACACAGGGGGAUAACAGUUAGAAAUGACUGCUAAUACCGCAUAAGCGCACGGUACCCACAGUGGUACAGUGUAAGAAAACGUCCGGUGGUGUGAGAGUGGACUCCGCG